Molecule: long non-coding RNA, 660 nt
Filed under: Elaeis guineensis (African oil palm)
Lineage: Eukaryota; Viridiplantae; Streptophyta; Magnoliopsida; Arecales; Arecaceae
Description: long non-coding RNA (EGUI_LNC049970)
Source: RNAcentral
UACUUGCUAAUUGGAUCAUCUAAUCUAAUCACAUAUCAUAUAUGCAUGAAUUUAGAUCUAAUCUAAUUUAUAUCAGAUCUAAUUAUAAUUUUAGAUUACAUCUAUAUCAGAUCAUAAAUAUCAUAUAUAUGAUAUAAAAUCAGAUUUUAUCAAGGAUCAGCAUAAACUAAGAUAAUCUUUUCACUAUAAUGGGUAAAUCUUACAGCAGAAUAAUCUUAUAUCAGUUUGUGCGAUCCAUCAUUAAUUAAAUUUAAAUCUAAAUAUCAUAUAUCAGAUCUAAAUAAAAUUAAAUUUUAAAUUUAAUAUGUACAUAAAUCUUAUCAUAAUGAACCUAAGCUCUGAUGUCACUGUUGGUGAACAUAGGUGAUUUAUGUAUGUAUUUCAAAACCUUUUCAAAUAAAUUAUAGUGAAAGACUGUAGGAUCUUAUAGGGGUUUCAUGCAUGUAUUUCAAAAUUUUUUAACGAAAGAAUAUCAGAUUAAACUAUUUAAUCUAAAAAUAUAUACAUAAAAUUUGAUCUUAAAACUCCUACAAAUAAAUUUAUAAUAUAAAUUUAUAUACAUAAAAAUCUAAAUCUAAAAUUACAAGAAUUUGAAUAAGAACAGCAAUUAGUGAUAGAUCUAAUCUACCACUUCUAAGAUUUCAAACCCAAUACCUGAGC